AAAAGAAACCAACAGGGAUUGCCCCAGUAACGGCGAGUGAAGCGGCAACAGCUCAAAUUUGAAAUCUGGCCUUCGGGUCCGAGUUGUAAUUUGGAGAGGAUGCUUCUGGCAAGGCGCCGUCCGAGUUCCUUGGAACAGGACGCCGUAGAGGGUGAGAGCCCCGUACGGGCGGCCGCCGAGCCUCUGUGAAGCUCCUUCGACGAGUCGAGUAGUUUGGGAAUGCUGCUCAAAAUGGGAGGUAAAUUUCUUCUAAAGCUAAAUACCGGCCAGAGACCGAUAGCGCACAAGUAGAGUGAUCGAAAGAUGAAAAGCACUUUGAAAAGAGGGUUAAAAAGUACGUGAAAUUGUUGAAAGGGAAGCGCCUGUGACCAGACUUGCGGCCAGCGGAUCAUCCGGUGUUCUUCACCGGUGCGCUCCGCGGGCUGCAGGCCAGCAUCGGUUUUCCUGGGGGGACAAAGGUCGCGGGAACGUAGCUCUUUCGGGAGUGUUAUAGCCCGCGGCGUCAUGCCUCCGGGGGGACCGAGGA
This 526-nucleotide ribosomal RNA is filed under the name Ophiostomataceae sp. NISK-1994-166-39A. RNAcentral describes it as "eukaryotic LSU rRNA". It matches the Rfam family "Eukaryotic large subunit ribosomal RNA", at positions 57 to 592 of the family's 3401-position model. The record is from RNAcentral. RNAcentral also lists the same sequence under 1 other name. Lineage: Eukaryota; Fungi; Ascomycota; Sordariomycetes; Ophiostomatales; Ophiostomataceae.